GGUCAAGUGAAGAAGCGCAUACGGUGGAUGCCUUGGCAGUCAGAGGCGAUGAAAGACGUGGUAGCCUGCGAUAAGCUUCGGGGAGUCGGCAAACAGACUUUGAUCCGGAGAUCUCUGAAUGGGGGAACCCACCUAGGAUAACCUAGGUAUCUUGUACUGAAUCCAUAGGUGCAAGAGGCGAACCAGGGGAACUGAAACAUCUAAGUACCCUGAGGAAAAGAAAUCAACCGAGAUUCCCUUAGUAGUGGCGAGCGAACGGGGACUAGCCCUUAAGCUUCAUUGAUUUUAGCGGAACGCUCUGGAAAGUGCGGCCAUAGUGGGUGAUAGCCCUGUACGCGAAAGGAUCUUUGAAGUGAAAUCGAGUAGGACGGAGCACGAGAAACUUUGUCUGAACAUGGGGGGACCAUCCUCCAAGGCUAAAUACUACUGACUGACCGAUAGUGAACCAGUACCGUGAG
Molecule: ribosomal RNA, 458 nt
Filed under: Pseudomonas aeruginosa
Lineage: Bacteria; Pseudomonadati; Pseudomonadota; Gammaproteobacteria; Pseudomonadales; Pseudomonadaceae
Description: partial 23S ribosomal RNA
Rfam family: Bacterial large subunit ribosomal RNA
Source: RNAcentral